This 1522-nucleotide ribosomal RNA is filed under the name Salmonella enterica subsp. enterica serovar Oranienburg. RNAcentral describes it as "bacterial SSU rRNA". It matches the Rfam family "Bacterial small subunit ribosomal RNA". The record is from RNAcentral. Lineage: Bacteria; Pseudomonadati; Pseudomonadota; Gammaproteobacteria; Enterobacterales; Enterobacteriaceae.
AGAGUUUGAUCAUGGCUCAGAUUGAACGCUGGCGGCAGGCCUAACACAUGCAAGUCGAACGGUAACAGGAAGCAGCUUGCUGCUUUGCUGACGAGUGGCGGACGGGUGAGUAAUGUCUGGGAAACUGCCUGAUGGAGGGGGAUAACUACUGGAAACGGUGGCUAAUACCGCAUAACGUCGCAAGACCAAAGAGGGGGACCUUCGGGCCUCUUGCCAUCAGAUGUGCCCAGAUGGGAUUAGCUUGUUGGUGAGGUAACGGCUCACCAAGGCGACGAUCCCUAGCUGGUCUGAGAGGAUGACCAGCCACACUGGAACUGAGACACGGUCCAGACUCCUACGGGAGGCAGCAGUGGGGAAUAUUGCACAAUGGGCGCAAGCCUGAUGCAGCCAUGCCGCGUGUAUGAAGAAGGCCUUCGGGUUGUAAAGUACUUUCAGCGGGGAGGAAGGUGUUGUGGUUAAUAACCGCAGCAAUUGACGUUACCCGCAGAAGAAGCACCGGCUAACUCCGUGCCAGCAGCCGCGGUAAUACGGAGGGUGCAAGCGUUAAUCGGAAUUACUGGGCGUAAAGCGCACGCAGGCGGUCUGUCAAGUCGGAUGUGAAAUCCCCGGGCUCAACCUGGGAACUGCAUUCGAAACUGGCAGGCUUGAGUCUUGUAGAGGGGGGUAGAAUUCCAGGUGUAGCGGUGAAAUGCGUAGAGAUCUGGAGGAAUACCGGUGGCGAAGGCGGCCCCCUGGACAAAGACUGACGCUCAGGUGCGAAAGCGUGGGGAGCAAACAGGAUUAGAUACCCUGGUAGUCCACGCCGUAAACGAUGUCUACUUGGAGGUUGUGCCCUUGAGGCGUGGCUUCCGGAGCUAACGCGUUAAGUAGACCGCCUGGGGAGUACGGCCGCAAGGUUAAAACUCAAAUGAAUUGACGGGGGCCCGCACAAGCGGUGGAGCAUGUGGUUUAAUUCGAUGCAACGCGAAGAACCUUACCUGGUCUUGACAUCCACGGAACUUUCCAGAGAUGGAUUGGUGCCUUCGGGAACCGUGAGACAGGUGCUGCAUGGCUGUCGUCAGCUCGUGUUGUGAAAUGUUGGGUUAAGUCCCGCAACGAGCGCAACCCUUAUCCUUUGUUGCCAGCGAUUAGGUCGGGAACUCAAAGGAGACUGCCAGUGAUAAACUGGAGGAAGGUGGGGAUGACGUCAAGUCAUCAUGGCCCUUACGACCAGGGCUACACACGUGCUACAAUGGCGCAUACAAAGAGAAGCGACCUCGCGAGAGCAAGCGGACCUCAUAAAGUGCGUCGUAGUCCGGAUUGGAGUCUGCAACUCGACUCCAUGAAGUCGGAAUCGCUAGUAAUCGUGGAUCAGAAUGCCACGGUGAAUACGUUCCCGGGCCUUGUACACACCGCCCGUCACACCAUGGGAGUGGGUUGCAAAAGAAGUAGGUAGCUUAACCUUCGGGAGGGCGCUUACCACUUUGUGAUUCAUGACUGGGGUGAAGUCGUAACAAGGUAACCGUAGGGGAACCUGCGGUUG